Molecule: ribosomal RNA, 468 nt
Filed under: uncultured bacterium
Lineage: Bacteria
Description: partial 16S ribosomal RNA
Rfam family: Bacterial small subunit ribosomal RNA
Source: RNAcentral
GACGAACGCUGGCGGCGUGCUUAACACAUGCAAGUCGAACGGAAAGGCCCUGCUUUUGUGGGGUGCUCGGGUGGCGAACGGGUGAGUAACACGUGAGUAACCUGCCCUUGACUUUGGGAUAACUUCAGGAAACUGGGGCUAAUACCGGAUAGGAGCUCCUGCUGCAUGGUGGGGGUUGGAAAGUUUCGGCGGUUGGGGAUGGACUCGCGGCUUAUCAGCUUGUUGGUGGGGUAGUGGCUUACCAAGGCUUUGACGGGUAGCCGGCCUGAGAGGGUGACCGGCCACAUUGGGACUGAGAUACGGCCCAGACUCCUACGGGAGGCAGCAGUGGGGAAUAUUGCACAAUGGGCGGAAGCCUGAUGCAGCAACGCCGCGUGCGGGAUGACGGCCUUCGGGUUGUAAACCGCUUUCGCCUGUGACGAAGCGUGAGUGACGGUAAUGGGUAAAGAAGCACCAGCUAACUACGUG